UACGUAGGGUGCAAGCGUUAAUCGGAAUUACUGGGCGUAAAGCGUGCGCAGGCGGCUUUGCAAGACAGAUGUGAAAUCCCCGGGCUUAACCUGGGAACUGCAUUUGUGACUGCAAAGCUAGAGUACGGCAGAGGGGGAUGGAAUUCCGCGUGUAGCAGUGAAAUGCGUAGAUAUGCGGAGGAACACCGAUGGCUAAGGCAAUCCCCUGGGCCUGUACUGACGCUCAUGCACGAAAGCGUGGGGAGCAAACAGG
RNAcentral lists this ribosomal RNA (253 nucleotides) under uncultured bacterium. Its description in RNAcentral is "partial 16S ribosomal RNA". It matches the Rfam family "Bacterial small subunit ribosomal RNA", at positions 524 to 776 of the family's 1533-position model. The record is from RNAcentral.